AGAGUUUGAUCCUGGCUCAGGAUGAAUGCUGGCGGCGUGUCUAAGGCAUGCAAGUCGAACGGAUUUACCCAUAUAGCAAUAUAGGGGUGAGUUAGUGGCAAACGGGAGCGUAACACAUUGGUAACCUACCCCAGACUCGUGGAUAACGGUUGGAAACGACCGCUAAUACACGAUAUUGAUGAGGGGACGCAAGUCAUUCUCAUUGAAAGUUUUUCGGUCUGGGAGGGGCCUAUGGUCUAUCAGCUAGUUGGCGGGGUAACGGCCCACCAAGGCUAUGACAGAUACCAGGCGCGAGAGCGUGACCUGGCUCAUUGGAACUGAGACACUGUCCAAACACCUACGGGUGGCUGCAGUCGAGAAUAUUCCACAAUGCACGAAAGUGUGAUGGAGCGACGCCGCGUGUCAAAAGAAGGCCUUCGGGUCGUAAAUGACUUUUCUCAGGGACGAAUUUUGACGGUACCUGAGGAAUAAGGGGUUGCUAACUCUGUGCCAGCAGCAGCGGUAAUACAGAGACCCCAAGCAUUAUCCGGAUUUAUUGGGCGUAAAGCGUUCGUAGGCGGUUUCGUAAGUCAUCUGUUAAAUCUUCAUGCUUAACAUGGAGGCUGCGGGUGAUACUGUGAGACUAGAGUAUGGGAGAGGUAAGCGGAAUGCCCGGUGUAGCGGUAAAAUGCGUUAAUAUCGGGUAGAACACCAAAUGCGAAGGCAGCUUACUGGAACAUUACUGACGCUCAGUGAACGAAAGCGUGGGUAGCGAAAGGGAUUAGAUACCCUGGUAGUCC
Molecule: ribosomal RNA, 779 nt
Filed under: uncultured bacterium
Lineage: Bacteria
Description: bacterial SSU rRNA
Rfam family: Bacterial small subunit ribosomal RNA
Source: RNAcentral